RNAcentral lists this ribosomal RNA (460 nucleotides) under Bactrocera aglaiae. Its description in RNAcentral is "partial large subunit ribosomal RNA". It matches the Rfam family "Bacterial large subunit ribosomal RNA", at positions 1799 to 2526 of the family's 2925-position model. Lineage: Eukaryota; Metazoa; Arthropoda; Insecta; Diptera; Tephritidae. The record is from RNAcentral.
CCUGUUUAACAAAAACAUGUCUUUUUGAGUUAUUUUUAAAGUCUGACCUGCCCACUGAAAUUUUUAAAUGGCCGCAGUAUUCUAACUGUGCAAAGGUAGCAUAAUCAUUAGUCUUUUAAUUGAAGGCUGGAAUGAACGGUUGGACGAGGUAUAAGCUGUUUCAUAUGAAUUUAUAGUAGAAUUUUAUUUUUUAGUCAAAAAGCUAAAAUUUAAUUAAAAGACGAGAAGACCCUAUAAAUCUUUAUAUUUUAUUUUAUUUAAAUUUUUUAGAUUUGUUUUAUUUUUAUGUAUUAAAAUAUUUUGUUGGGGUGAUAUUAAAAUUUAAUGAACUUUUAAUUUUUUUUAAAUCAUUAAUCUAUGAAUUGUUGAUCCAUUAUUAUUGAUUAUAAGAUUAAGUUACUUUAGGGAUAACAGCGUAAUUUUUUUGGAGAGUUCAUAUCGAUAAAAAAGGUUGCGACCU